GAUGAAGAACGCAGCGAAAUGCGAUAAGUAAUGUGAAUUGCAGAAUUCAGUGAAUCAUCGAAUCUUUGAACGCACCUUGCGCCCUUUGGCCAUUCCGAAGGGCAUGCCUGUUUGAGUAUCAUGAACACCUCAACUCUUCAUGGAUUUCCAUGAUGAGCUUGGACUUUGGGGGUCUUGCUGGCCUGUGGGUCGGCUCCUCUCAAAUGAAUCAGCUUGCCGGUUUUUGGUGGGCAUCACAGGUGUGAUAACUAUCUACGCUUGUGGUUUUCCACCAGGGUAACCUUCAGCAGUGGAGGUUCACUGGAGCUUACAAAUGUCUCUCCUCUGUGAGGACAGCCCUUUGAAUGUUUGAUCUCAAAUCAGGUAGGACUACCCGCUGAACUUAAGCAUAUCAAUAAGCGGAGGA
Molecule: unclassified non-coding RNA, 406 nt
Filed under: soil metagenome
Description: partial contains 5.8S ribosomal RNA, internal transcribed spacer 2, and large subunit ribosomal RNA
Rfam family: 5.8S ribosomal RNA (bases 1-121)
Source: RNAcentral